RNAcentral lists this ribosomal RNA (500 nucleotides) under uncultured bacterium. RNAcentral describes it as "partial 16S ribosomal RNA". It matches the Rfam family "Bacterial small subunit ribosomal RNA", at positions 30 to 523 of the family's 1533-position model. The record is from RNAcentral.
AUUGAACGCUGGCGGCAUGCCUUACACAUGCAAGUCGAACGGUAACAGGGAGCUUGCUCCGCUGACGAGUGGCGAACGGGUGAGUAAUGUAUCGGAACGUACCUUUUAGUGGGGGAUAACGUAGCGAAAGUUACGCUAAUACCGCAUAUUCUCUGAGGAGGAAAGCAGGGGACCUUCGGGCCUUGCGCUAAUAGAGCGGCUGAUAUCAGAUUAGCUUGUUGGUGAGGUAAAGGCUCACCAAGGCGACGAUCUGUAGCGGGUCUGAGGGGAUGAUCCGCCACACUGGACCUGAGACACGGUCCAGACUCCUACGGGAGGCAGCAGUGGGGAAUUUUGGACAAUGGGGGCAACCCUGAUCCAGCCAUGCCGCGUGAGUGAAGAAGGCCUUCGGGUUGUAAAGCUCUUUCGGCCGGGAAAAAAUCGCAUGGGUUAAUACCCUGUGUGGAUGAUGGUACCGGAAUAAGAAGCACCGGCUAACUACGUGCCAGCCGCCGCCGUAA